Molecule: long non-coding RNA, 767 nt
Organism: Ailuropoda melanoleuca (giant panda)
Lineage: Eukaryota; Metazoa; Chordata; Mammalia; Carnivora; Ursidae
Exons: 3
Source: RefSeq, a predicted model, not a curated record
GCACGUCCCAAAGAGGAAGCUGCAACAUUGGAUGUAAGUGUCCUUUUUGAGGUACUGCUCCCUGUACAUAAAAGUCACUGGGUCACAAUGCUGGUGUCACAGUGGGAGGAAUCUCCUCUGAGAGGCUACUUUGCAUGUGAAGGAACUGGAGUCAUUUCUAAUAUUUAGCACAUAUUAUCCAAAAAGUGUAACAAUUACCACUGUUAGGAAGAUUGGGUCCACUUUCGCUGUCCCCAGCAGCCAGGGGCCUUGCAGGGUGGAGAAGAGUAGGAAACUAUCACUUUACUGGAAGAUGUUCUUUUAGCUGAAGACUGAACAGAGUUGGAGGUCUCCAAGAGGAGUUAAGCUUCAAGAGUACCUGGUCAGAUGAGAAGAAUGACUGAUUUUCCCUCACAAUACUGGAAGCAAUGAAAAUCAAAAUGUUACUAAAUGAAUGGAGAAGAAAGAUAAUAAGAAAAGAACCUUUUGCUUCUGGAAAUUCUGGGAAAAAAUCUUUCAAUAAAUGAACUGCCCUCAACACAAACCCAGCUGUUGAGCUACAUGGGACUGAAGAGAAAUGAAGAUCAUUGCUGCCACAUUUAUAUAAACCAUGUAUUUUUUCUGGCUCUUUUAAAUCUUCUAUAAUUUUGCAGUAAUUGGUUGAUUAAAACAUUUUGUGCCAAUGAUAAAAGUUCCUCAUUACUACCUUGAGAAUCAGCACAAUUUGGGACAUGAAAGGCAGGUUUAUCCUGACUUGGCUUGAACAGUGUAGAAUCUGGAAGUGUCUG